CCUACGGGUGGCAGCAGUGGGGAAUAUUGGGCAAUGGGCGCAAGCCUGACCCAGCAACGCCGCGUGAAGGAAGAAGGCUUUCGGGUUGUAAACUUCUUUUAAGGGGGAAGAGCAGAAGACGGUACCCCUUGAAUAAGCCACGGCUAACUACGCGCCAGCAGCCGCGGUAAUACGUAGGUGGCAAGCGUUGUCCGGAUUUACUGGGUGGAAAGGGUGUGCAGCCGGAGAGACAAGUCAGAUGUGAAAUCCACGGGCUCAACCCGUGAACUGCAUUUGACACUGUUUCCCUUGAGUGUCGGAGAGGUGAUCAGAAUUCCUUGUGUAGCGGUGAAAUGCGUAGAUAUAAGGAAGAACACCAGUGGCGAAGGCGGAUUACUGGACGAUAACUGACGGUGAGGCGCGAAAGCGUGGGGAGCAAACAGGAUUAGAUACCCCUGUAGUC
RNAcentral lists this ribosomal RNA (442 nucleotides) under uncultured bacterium. RNAcentral describes it as "partial 16S ribosomal RNA". It matches the Rfam family "Bacterial small subunit ribosomal RNA", at positions 338 to 795 of the family's 1533-position model. The record is from RNAcentral.